UGGCCAGGGCAUCAACAGGAUAGUCUCUA
This 29-nucleotide non-coding RNA is filed under the name Homo sapiens (human). The record is from RNAcentral. Lineage: Eukaryota; Metazoa; Chordata; Mammalia; Primates; Hominidae.